RNAcentral lists this ribosomal RNA (745 nucleotides) under Lichenothelia intermixta. Its description in RNAcentral is "SSU rRNA". It matches the Rfam family "Bacterial small subunit ribosomal RNA", at positions 419 to 1161 of the family's 1533-position model. Lineage: Eukaryota; Fungi; Ascomycota; Dothideomycetes; Lichenotheliales; Lichenotheliaceae. The record is from RNAcentral.
CUGGCGGGGAAUCGGCUUAGUCGAAUAAAAUUCUAGAUAGAAUAGUGAUUAUGACAAUUUUCUAUCUAAAUGUCUUGACCAAGUCACGUGCCAGCAGUCGCGGUAAUACGUGGAAGACUAGUGUUAUUCAUCUUUAAUAGGUUUAAAGGGUACCUAGACGGUAUUUCUAGCCCCAAAAGGGUACGGAUUUACUAGAGUUUUAUGUGAGAGGCAAAUAUUAGUACUAUUGGUGUAGAGAUGAAAUUCUUUGAUACUACUAGGACUGGUGGCGGCGAAAGCAACCCUCUAAGUAUAAACUGACGUUGAGGGACGAAGGCUUGGGUAGCGAAUAGGAUUAGAUACCCUAGUAGUCCAGGCAGAAAAUUAUGAGUGCCAUAGACUAGAUUAAAUAUUUUGGUCUAUAAAUGAAAGUGUAAGCAUUCCACCUCAAGAGUAAUGUGGCAACGCAGGAACUGAAAUCAUUAGACCGUUUCUGAAACCAGUAGUGAAGUAUGUUAUUUAAUUCGAUAACCCUCGAAAAACCUUACCACAAUUUGAAUGUAAUACAUUAAGUAGUCUAAUAAUUGUCUAGUCAACAAUUCUAUGACAUGAAGUAGUCUAAUAAUUGUCUACUCAACUAUUUCAUGUAUUAACACAAGCGUUGCACGGCUGUCUUCAGUUAAUGUCGUGAGAACUUGGUUAGAUCCAUUAAAUUAACGUAAUCCCUUUCGUUAGUUCUCUGAACUAAUGAAGUUCACCGCUAUAU